GUUGACCUCGGAUCAGGUAGGAAUACCCGCUGAACUUAAGCAUAUCAAUAAGCGGAGGAAAAGAAACCAACAGGGAUUGCCCCAGUAACGGCGAGUGAAGCGGCAACAGCUCAAAUUUGAAAUCUGGCCUCGGCCCGAGUUGUAAUUUGCAGAGGAUGCUUCGGGCGCGGUGCCUUCCGAGUUCCCUGGAACGGGACGCCAUAGAGGGUGAGAGCCCCGUAUGGUUGGACGCCUAGCCUGUGUGAAGCUCCUUCGACGAGUCGAGUAGUUUGGGAAUGCUGCUCAAAAUGGGAGGUAUAUCUCUUCUAAAGCUAAAUACCGGCCAGAGACCGAUAGCGCACAAGUAGAGUGAUCGAAAGAUGAAAAGCACCUUGAAAAGGGGGUUAAACAGCACGUGAAAUUGUUGAAAGGGAAGGGCCCAUGACCAGACUUGUGUCCGGCGGAUCACCCAGCGUUCUCGCUGGGGCACUCCGCCGGGUCCAGGCCAGCAUCGGUUCUCGCCGGGGGAUAAAGGCUCUGGGAACGUAGCUCCUCCGGGAGUGUUAUAGCCCUCUGCGUAAUACCCUGGCGGGGACCGAGGUACGCGCUCCGCAAGGAUGCUGGCGUAAUGGUCAUCAGCCACCCGUCUUGAAACACGGACC
Molecule: ribosomal RNA, 641 nt
Filed under: Phaeoacremonium rubrigenum
Lineage: Eukaryota; Fungi; Ascomycota; Sordariomycetes; Togniniales; Togniniaceae
Description: eukaryotic LSU rRNA
Rfam family: Eukaryotic large subunit ribosomal RNA
Source: RNAcentral